UUUCAGAAACAAAUUUCGCUGCUUUAUGCUCCUGUAUAGCAUUAUUAGACUUCAUUGAAUUCACGUUUGCAUCCGCCAAACUCGGCCAAGACGGCGAGUAAAGAGGAUUUUCAUCUUUUGUAAAAGAGACCCCAUUGUCUAAAUAAUUAUUAUCGCUAUACAUGGAAUCUUCUAAAGGUUCUGUCAUUAAAGAUGCGGAUCUCAUACCAGCGCGCCAUGGUGAACCUCUUGGAGUAGAUUCGCGCGAAUUUGAGGAUAAUUGAUUAGCAGAGGCUUCAUAAUUAAGAAAAGGAUCCUCUGCCACUUCCCUAUCAGACUGGUAAUUAUGUUCAGACAUGCGAAACCACCAGCAAGACGCUGGAGGAUUAGAAUAAACAGUUGCAAGACCAAGCUCGAAUUUGCAAGAGAUUCUUGCACUCUUGAAAGAUAAAGAGUUGAAAGCACGAAUUAACGAAUAGAGUAUGCACUCUGAAAACCUAACUUAACAUACUGUCUUAUACUAUUUAAAAGUAAUAUUGCAAAACACAGCAACAAGACAGUUCGCUAUUAGUUAUCAUAACGUAUUUUAACGGGAUCCACGAAGUUUUCCUGAAUAAGCUUUUCCCACAGUUCGUUAGGAUAACUUGCUAGUUUUUAUUAACCGAAGCUUAAUUCUAAGCGGCAACUUCGACUGUGCGGGCAAACAGUACGCUUCGUUACAUGUCACUAUGCUUUUUUAACUAUUCCUAAAAAAUCUUUAAAUGCCUUUAACACACAAUAAUCGUUAUUGUUUUUAGUGAGUGUAUGGUUGAGAUAGUUUGAAAUAGGAACUACGUA
Non-coding RNA from Schizosaccharomyces pombe (fission yeast), 816 nucleotides. NCBI's taxonomy places the organism in Eukaryota, Fungi, Ascomycota, Schizosaccharomycetes, Schizosaccharomycetales, Schizosaccharomycetaceae. The record is from the annotation of a GenBank genome assembly.